This 456-nucleotide ribosomal RNA is filed under the name uncultured bacterium. RNAcentral's name for it is "bacterial SSU rRNA". It matches the Rfam family "Bacterial small subunit ribosomal RNA", at positions 340 to 786 of the family's 1533-position model. The record is from RNAcentral.
UACGGGAGGCAGCAGUGGGGAAUAUUGCACAAUGGGCGCAAGCCUGAUGCAGCCAUGCCGCGUGUAUGAAGAAGGCCUUCGGGUUGUAAAGUACUUUCAGUCGUGAGGAAGGUGUUAAGGUUAAUAACCUUAGCAAUUGACGUUAGCGACAGAAGAAGCACCGGCUAACUCCGUGCCAGCAGCCGCGGUAAUACGGAGGGUGCGAGCGUUAAUCGGAAUUACUGGGCGUAAAGGGCACGCAGGCGGUUAAUUAAGUUGGAUGUGAAAUCCCCGGGCUUAACCUGGGAAUGGCAUUCAAGACUGGUUAGCUAGAGUCUUGUAGAGGGGGUAGAAUUCCGAUGUGUAGCGGUGAAAUGCGUAGAGAUGUGGAGGAAUACCGGUGGCGAAGGCGGCCCCUGGACAAAGGACUGACGCUCAUGUGCGAAAGCGUGGGGAGCGAAACAGGGAUUAGAUACC